Chiloscyllium plagiosum (whitespotted bambooshark) is the source of this 276-nucleotide non-coding RNA. Lineage: Eukaryota; Metazoa; Chordata; Chondrichthyes; Orectolobiformes; Hemiscylliidae. The record is from RefSeq and is a predicted model, not a curated record.
ACUAUAACCUGGUGUUGGAAAGAGGUCACAUGGGGUCAGAUAUUCGGGAACGCGAGAAGGCGGAGAAUGGAGUCAGGUCAACAGUCAAUCAAGAAGACAACCACACCUCAAUGCUUGCACAAUGUUCUGUGAUUACAUGACGUUUUGUACUGUAUAAAAGACUGGGUCAGGGGCAGGAUAGGGGUCAGACUUUGUGAACUGACACACUCUGCUGUUUGUCAGGGACGGAAGGUCUAGACCCAGAGCUCUGUAUACUUUAUCCACUUACUGCUAAAA